This 1441-nucleotide ribosomal RNA is filed under the name uncultured organism. RNAcentral's name for it is "SSU rRNA". It matches the Rfam family "Bacterial small subunit ribosomal RNA". The record is from RNAcentral.
UAUCUACAGGCUUAACACAUGCAAGUCGAGGGGCAUCAGGAAGAAAGCUUGCUUUCUUUGCUGGCGACCGGCGCACGGGUGAGUAACACGUAUCCAACCUGCCCUUUACUCGGGGAUAGCCUUUCGAAAGAAAGAUUAAUACCCGAUAGCAUAAUGAUUCCGCAUGGUUUCAUUAUUAAAGGAUUCCGGUAAAGGAUGGGGAUGCGUUCCAUUAGGUUGUUGGUGAGGUAACGGCCCACCAAGCCUUCGAUGGAUAGGGGUUCUGAGAGGAAGGUCCCCCACAUUGGAACUGAGACACGGUCCAAACUCCUACGGGAGGCAGCAGUGAGGAAUAUUGGUCAAUGGGCGCUAGCCUGAACCAGCCAAGUAGCGUGAAGGAUGAAGGCUCUAUGGGUCGUAAACUUCUUUUAUAUAAGAAUAAAGUGCAGUAUGUAUACUGUUUUGUAUGUAUUAUAUGAAUAAGGAUCGGCUAACUCCGUGCCAGCAGCCGCGGUAAUACGGAGGAUCCGAGCGUUAUCCGGAUUUAUUGGGUUUAAAGGGAGCGUAGGUGGACUGGUAAGUCAGUUGUGAAAGUUUGCGGCUCAACCGUAAAAUUGCAGUUGAUACUGUCAGUCUUGAGUACAGUAGAGGUGGGCGGAAUUCGUGGUGUAGCGGUGAAAUGCUUAGAUAUCACGAAGAACUCCGAUUGCGAAGGCAGCUCACUGGACUGCAACUGACACUGAUGCUCGAAAGUGUGGGUAUCAAACAGGAUUAGAUACCCUGGUAGUCCACACAGUAAACGAUGAAUACUCGCUGUUUGCGAUAUACAGUAAGCGGCCAAGCGAAAGCAUUAAGUAUUCCACCUGGGGAGUACGCCGGCAACGGUGAAACUCAAAGGAAUUGACGGGGGCCCGCACAAGCGGAGGAACAUGUGGUUUAAUUCGAUGAUACGCGAGGAACCUUACCCGGGCUUAAAUUGCAGUGGAAUGAUGUGGAAACAUGUCAGUGAGCAAUCACCGCUGUGAAGGUGCUGCAUGGUUGUCGUCAGCUCGUGCCGUGAGGUGUCGGCUUAAGUGCCAUAACGAGCGCAACCCUUAUCUUUAGUUACUAACAGGUUAUGCUGAGGACUCUAGAGAGACUGCCGUCGUAAGAUGUGAGGAAGGUGGGGAUGACGUCAAAUCAGCACGGCCCUUACGUCCGGGGCUACACACGUGUUACAAUGGGGGGUACAGAAGGCAGCUAGCGGGUGACCGUAUGCUAAUCCCAAAAGCCUCUCUCAGUUCGGAUCGAAGUCUGCAACCCGACUUCGUGAAGCUGGAUUCGCUAGUAAUCGCGCAUCAGCCACGGCGCGGUGAAUACGUUCCCGGGCCUUGUACACACCGCCCGUCAAGCCAUGGGAGCCGGGGGUACCUGAAGUACGUAACCGCAAGGAUCGUCCUAGGGUAAAACUGGUGACUGGGGC